Schistosoma curassoni is the source of this 45-nucleotide non-coding RNA. The record is from Rfam. NCBI's taxonomy places the organism in Eukaryota, Metazoa, Platyhelminthes, Trematoda, Strigeidida, Schistosomatidae.
AUCCAGUCGACGAGUCGCAAAUAAGAUGAAACGUACGUUAUGGAU